GAUGAACGCUGGCGGCGUGCCUAAUACAUGCGAGUCGAGCGAACAGAUGAGGAGCUUGCUCCUCUGACGUUAGCGGCGGACGGGUGAGUAACACGUGGAUAACCUACCUAUAAGACUGGGAUAACUUCGGGAAACCGGAGCUAAUACCGGAUAAUAUAUUGAACCGCAUGGUUCAAUAGUGAAAGACGGUUUUGCUGUCACUUAUAGAUGGAUCCGCGCCGCAUUAGCUAGUUGGUAAGGUAACGGCUUACCAAGGCAACGAUGCGUAGCCGACCUGAGAGGGUGAUCGGCCACACUGGAACUGAGACACGGUCCAGACUCCUACGGGAGGCAGCAGUAGGGAAUCUUCCGCAAUGGGCGAAAGCCUGACGGAGCAACGCCGCGUGAGUGAUGAAGGUCUUCGGAUCGUAAAACGCUGUUAUUAGGGAAGAACAAAUGUGUAAGUAACUAUGCACGUCUUGACGGUACCUAAGCAGAAAGCCACGGCUAACUACGU
Molecule: ribosomal RNA, 496 nt
Filed under: uncultured bacterium
Lineage: Bacteria
Description: partial 16S ribosomal RNA
Rfam family: Bacterial small subunit ribosomal RNA
Source: RNAcentral